RNAcentral lists this ribosomal RNA (411 nucleotides) under Helicobacter pylori. RNAcentral describes it as "bacterial LSU rRNA". It matches the Rfam family "Bacterial large subunit ribosomal RNA", at positions 1807 to 2234 of the family's 2925-position model. Lineage: Bacteria; Pseudomonadati; Campylobacterota; Epsilonproteobacteria; Campylobacterales; Helicobacteraceae. The record is from RNAcentral.
CCAAAAACACAGCACUUUAGUAUAAGGUGUGACGCCUGCCCGGUGCUCGAAGGUUAAGAGGAUGCGUCAGUCGCAAGAUGAAGCGUUGAAUUGAAGCCCGAGUAAACGGCGGCCGUAACUAUAACGGUCCUAAGGUAGCGAAAUUCCUUGUCGGUUAAAUACCGACCUGCAUGAAUGGCGUAACGAGAUGGGAGCUGUCUCAACCAGAGAUUCAGUGAAAUUGUAGUGGAGGUGAAAAUUCCUCCUACCCGCGGCAAGACGGAAAGACCCCGUGGACCUUUACUACAACUUAGCACUGCUAAUGGGAAUAUCAUGCGCAGGAUAGGUGGGAGGCUUUGAAGUAAGGGCUUUGGCUCUUAUGGGCCAUCCUUGAGAUCCACCCUUGAUGUUUCUGUUAGCUAACUGGCCUGU